UCCCCUCUCGUUCGUGCCUAUCUUCAAGUUGCUGAAGAUACUCUCUCCUCGCGGUGCAGCGCGCUCGUCUCUUUCUAACUACACGGUUCGUAUAAACGCGUUUCGUGGAAUUUUUGUUGCGGCCAACUUGAAAGUCAGUUUCACCGAUCGUGUUAUUUCUGCGCGACCAAGCUCUCGUAGAGAGUCUUCGCAACGAUACGCGUUAUAUGAUUGAUUAUCUAACAAUCCGAGUCGCAUCGAUAGUCUAGCGAGGCGGAAAAUUUAUCGGUUAUAUUCACACACUAGCGUGCGAACGAAAGACAGAUUCUCGGAACACGAAUAUAGCACACAUCGCGCGAUAUUGUGAGAUCUUCUAAUGCAUUUUCUCUUCUUUCUCUUUCUUCGAAUCUAUUCGAGAACAGAUCUUCAUCGAAAAAGAUCUGUCUUUCUAUUAAAGAUGAGAUAUCAUUUGCGAACAUCAAAAACUCUAACUAUAACACAGUCUAAGAUGGCGUCGCUCGGCGCUUUAACGGUUAUUGAAACUUAUAAAAUAGCUAUUUGGAAGUCGCGAUAAAGUUCGAAAUUGCCCAAUGCCGCAAAGUUUUCGGCGAAUUCGUAGUUAUCGCUUCGAGGAGAGUAUUAGUUGCGGUUCGCGUUCGAGAUAUUCCGAUAUCACGUGCGCGAUUUAUAACGCGGAAUCGUGACUUCGCAUUCAAUUCGUGUCAAACGGACGCUUUUACUCAGUGAAUUUAUCUUCUUCGACUUAAUCUUGAGAUGCUCAGCGAUUACUAGGUCACGCUGUUACAAGGGCAACAUAUAUGCUCGUAACCUGUAAACAUCACUUGUGCUCCGUUCUUCAUUCCUUCAGGACUGCGUAACCAACCCAUUAAAAAAUAUUCUACAAAAUGCAACACUUUUGGAGAAAGAAGCGGUGUGCAAAGAUGAUGUACGAAGUUUCAAACGAGCGUGCGAUGAGUGGAAGAAAAAUAUUAGCGUCAUAUCGCUUCCUGACUACAGGGAUGGUCGAUAGGUUGAUACCAACACAAUAUUACACUAGAUAUAGCGGCCGUUGAUCGUACCGACUCUCGAAGUGGCUAUGCAAAUUAACACGGGCUCUAUCGAGCGAGAUUGCCCGGAGAGAGUCUCGGCAAAAGAGAGCGAAGGAUAGAUACGAAUAAUCAAAGAACGACGGUAGAGAUGAGUAGAAAAAGUGACGUAUAAAGGAGAGAGAGGAAAAGCCGUAGGGCAAGGGAAUUCGAGAAGGCAAGCAUCGGAGAGAAUGAACGAGAAUGAAGAAAGAAGAGGAAGAGGCGAAAGAUCAGAAAAGGAUGGCAGACGAAUGGAAAACACGUGCCGUCAACGUUACACUGCCGCUGCCUAGUCACUGACGUCAUCGAAGAACGAUUCCAAUUAUGGAUGUCGGGGAGGUAGCCGCAGGGUCUGAUCGCGCGUUGGAGAGAGGCGUUUCUUGUCACUAACGCUAGAGAUUCCGACAGGUUGUGCGUACGUGUAUGUGUUGUGUGAACAUUCGUACAUAUAUUAUGAUUGGCGUGUCGAUACGUGCCGUUAGAUUCGCUCGAGUCGAACCGUGAACCCGAUGCAUUCUGACAGGCAUUCCGACGAUUUUGCGUAAGCACAGUAGUUCCGAAGGAUACAUCUUCUUCGUGACGUAUACAAGUUAUCAGGAUCGCGUCAAAAACAAAAAUGUAUUUUGCCGAUAAAUUUGAAUAAAUUAAAAUGGAGACAAAAUU
This is a long non-coding RNA of Cataglyphis hispanica, 1730 nucleotides long. RefSeq lists it as uncharacterized. NCBI's taxonomy places the organism in Eukaryota, Metazoa, Arthropoda, Insecta, Hymenoptera, Formicidae. The record is from RefSeq and is a predicted model, not a curated record. The transcript has 4 exons.